RNAcentral lists this ribosomal RNA (253 nucleotides) under uncultured bacterium. Its description in RNAcentral is "partial 16S ribosomal RNA". It matches the Rfam family "Bacterial small subunit ribosomal RNA", at positions 524 to 776 of the family's 1533-position model. The record is from RNAcentral.
UACGUAGGUCCCGAGCGUUAUCCGGAUUUACUGGGUGUAAAGGGAGCGCAGGCGGCACGGCAAGCCUGAUGUGAAAGCCCGCGGCCCAACCGCGGGACUGCAUUGGGAACUACCGGGCUGGAGUGCCGGAGAGGUAGGCGGAAUUCCUAGUGUAGUGGUGAAAUGCGUAGAUAUUAGGAGGAACACCAGUGGCGAAGGCGGCCUACUGGACGGUGACUGACGCUGAGGCUCGAAAGCGUGGGGAGCAAACAGG